RNAcentral lists this ribosomal RNA (269 nucleotides) under Bacillus sp. ZAN8. RNAcentral's name for it is "partial 16S ribosomal RNA". It matches the Rfam family "Bacterial small subunit ribosomal RNA", at positions 75 to 339 of the family's 1533-position model. Lineage: Bacteria; Bacillati; Bacillota; Bacilli; Caryophanales; Bacillaceae. The record is from RNAcentral.
CUUGCUCUUAUGAAGUUAGCGGCGGACGGGUGAGUAACACGUGGGUAACCUGCCCAUAAGACUGGGAUAACUCCGGGAAACCGGGGCUAAUACCGGAUAACAUUUUGAACCGCAUGGUUCGAAAUUGAAAGGCGGCUUCGGCUGUCACUUAUGGAUGGACCCGCGUCGCAUUAGCUAGUUGGUGAGGUAACGGCUCACCAAGGCAACGAUGCGUAGCCGACCUGAGAGGGUGAUCGGCCACACUGGGACUGAGACACGGCCCAGACUCC